Molecule: ribosomal RNA, 506 nt
Filed under: uncultured bacterium
Lineage: Bacteria
Description: partial 16S ribosomal RNA
Rfam family: Bacterial small subunit ribosomal RNA
Source: RNAcentral
AGUGAACGCUGGCGGUAGGCCUAACACAUGCAAGUCGAACGGCAGCACAGAGGAGCUUGCUCCUUGGGUGGCGAGUGGCGGACGGGUGAGGAAUACAUCGGAAUCUACUCUGUCGUGGGGGAUAACGUAGGGAAACUUACGCUAAUACCGCAUACGACCUACGGGUGAAAGCAGGGGACCUUCGGGCCUUUCGCGAUUGAAUGAGCCGAUGUCGGAUUAGCUGGUUGGCGGGGUAAAGGCCCACCAAGGCGACGAUCCGGAGCUGGUCUGAGAGGAUGAUCAGCCACACUGGAACUGAGACACGGUCCAGACUCCUACGGGAGGCAGCAGUGGGGAAUAUUGGACAAUGGGCGCAAGCCUGAUCCAGCCAUACCGCGUGGGUGAAGAAGGCCUUCGGGUUGUAAAGCCCUUUUGUUGGGAAAGAAAUCCAGCUGGCUAAUACCCGGUUGGGAUGACGGUACCCAAAGAAUAAGCACCGGCUAACUUCGUGCCAGCAGCCGCCGUAA